RNAcentral lists this ribosomal RNA (176 nucleotides) under uncultured bacterium. RNAcentral describes it as "partial 16S ribosomal RNA". It matches the Rfam family "Bacterial small subunit ribosomal RNA", at positions 335 to 526 of the family's 1533-position model. The record is from RNAcentral.
ACUCCUACGGGAGGCAGCAGUAGGGAAUUUUCCGCAAUGGGCGAAAGCCUGACGGAGCAAUACCGCGUGAGGGAUGACGGCCUGUGGGUUGUAAACCUCUUUUCUCAAGGAAGAAGUUCUGACGGUACUUGAGGAAUAAGCAUCGGCUAACUCUGUGCCAGCAGCCGCGGUAAUAC